UGGGGAAUUUUGGACAAUGGGCGAAAGCCUGAUCCAGCAAUGCCGCGUGUGUGAAGAAGGCCUUCGGGUUGUAAAGCACUUUUGUCCGGAAAGAAAUCCUUGGCUCUAAUACAGUCGGGGGAUGACGGUACCGGAAGAAUAAGCACCGGCUAACUACGUGCCAGCAGCCGCGGUAAUACGUAGGGUGCAAGCGUUAAUCGGAAUUACUGGGCGUAAAGCGUGCGCAGGCGGUUUGCUAAGACCGAUGUGAAAUCCCCGGGCUCAACCUGGGAACUGCAUUGGUGACUGGCAGGCUAGAGUAUGGCAGAGGGGGGUUAGAAUUCCACGUGUAGCAGUGAAAUGCGUAGAGAUGUGGAGGAAUACCGAUGGCGAAGGCAGCCCCCUGGGCCAAUACUGACGCUCAUGCACGAAAGCGUGGGGAGCAAACAGGAUUAGAUACCCUGGUAGUCCACGCCCUAAACGAUGUCAACUAGUUGUUGGGGAUUCAUUUCCUUAGUAACGUAGCUAACGCGUGAAGUUGACCGCCUGGGGAGUACGGUCGCAAGAUUAAAACUCAAAGGAAUUGACGGGGUCAUAGCUGUUU
Molecule: ribosomal RNA, 583 nt
Filed under: uncultured bacterium
Lineage: Bacteria
Description: partial 16S ribosomal RNA
Rfam family: Bacterial small subunit ribosomal RNA
Source: RNAcentral